This 287-nucleotide long non-coding RNA is filed under the name Anser cygnoides (Swan goose). RNAcentral's name for it is "lncRNA (ENSACDG00005003688.1)". Lineage: Eukaryota; Metazoa; Chordata; Aves; Anseriformes; Anatidae. The record is from RNAcentral.
GAACUUUGGACAUUUCUGGCAUUGGGUAUCAUCUUACUUUACUGUGUGACUAGGGGAAAAAGGAGCAGAAGCUAAAUAUGUCAGAGGACAUCACUGAAAGAUUACAAAGGUAGUGAAGAAUGAACCGCCUUCAUCAGGCUUCUUUGCUGAAGACAAGUCCUUUGAAAGGAUUCAGUUUUGUUAUGACUCCAUUCAGUGAGCCUUUCCGUACUGCCCUGGGUAGCUUUGCUGCCGUUCACCUGCCUGCGGAUGGAAAAGGAUGUGUUCACCACAGAGAUAAAAGCUGA